GACGAACGCUGGCGGCGUGCUUAACACAUGCAAGUCGAACGGCAAGGCCCUGCUUUUGUGGGGUGCUCGAGUGGCGAACGGGUGCGUAACACGUGAGUAACCUGCCCUUGACUUUGGUAUAACUUCAGGAAACUGGGGCUAAUACCGGAUAGGAGCUCCUGCUGCAUGGUGGGGGUUGGAAAGUUUCGGCGGUUGGGGAUGGACUCGCGGCUUAUCAGCUUGUUGGUUGGGUAGUGGCUUACCAAGGCUUUGACGGGUAGCCGGCCUGAGAGGGUGACCGGGCACAUGGGGACUGAGAGACGGCCCAGACUCCUACGGGAGGCAGCAGUGGGGAAUAUUGCACAAUGGGAGGAAGCCGGAGGCAGAAACGCCGCGGGCGGGAUGACGGCCUUCGGGUUGUAAACCGCUGUAGCCUGUGACGAAGCGGGAGUGACGGUAAUGGGUAAAGAAGCACCGGCUAACUACGUG
Molecule: ribosomal RNA, 468 nt
Filed under: uncultured bacterium
Lineage: Bacteria
Description: partial 16S ribosomal RNA
Rfam family: Bacterial small subunit ribosomal RNA
Source: RNAcentral